This 201-nucleotide ribosomal RNA is filed under the name uncultured Thermovirga sp. RNAcentral describes it as "partial 16S ribosomal RNA". It matches the Rfam family "Bacterial small subunit ribosomal RNA", at positions 1185 to 1382 of the family's 1533-position model. Lineage: Bacteria; Thermotogati; Synergistota; Synergistia; Synergistales; Thermovirgaceae. The record is from RNAcentral.
UCAAGUCAUCAUGGCCCUUAUGUCCAGGGCGACACACGUGCUACAAUGGCCGGCACAGCGGGAAGCGAGGGGGCGACCUUGAGCGGAUCCCUCAAAGACCGGUACUCAGUUCGGAUUGCAGUCUGCAACUCGACUGCAUGAAGUUGGAAUCGCUAGUAAUCGUGGAUCAGCCAAGCCGCGGUGAAUACGUUCCCGGGCCUU